This 433-nucleotide ribosomal RNA is filed under the name uncultured bacterium. Its description in RNAcentral is "partial 16S ribosomal RNA". It matches the Rfam family "Bacterial small subunit ribosomal RNA", at positions 29 to 507 of the family's 1533-position model. The record is from RNAcentral.
AGCGAACGCUGGCGGCAGGCCUAACACAUGCAAGUCGAACGAACUCUUCGGGGUUAGUGGCGGACGGGUGAGUAACACGUGGGAACGUGCCUUUUGGUUCGGAAUAACUCAGGGAAACUUGUGCUAAUACCGAAUGUGCCCUUCGGGGGAAAGAUUUAUCGCCAUUAGAGCGGCCCGCGUCUGAUUAGCUAGUUGGUGAGGUAACGGCUCACCAAGGCGACGAUCAGUAGCUGGUCUGAGAGGAUGACCAGCCACACUGGGACUGAGACACGGCCCAGACUCCUACGGGAGGCAGCAGUGGGGAAUCUUGCGCAAUGGGCGAAAGCCUGACGCAGCCAUGCCGCGUGAAUGAUGAAGGCCUUAGGAUUGUAAAAUUCUUUCACCGGGGACGAUAAUGACGGUACCCGGAGAAGAAGCCCCGGCUAACUUCGUG